Molecule: long non-coding RNA, 879 nt
Organism: Clarias gariepinus (North African catfish)
Lineage: Eukaryota; Metazoa; Chordata; Actinopteri; Siluriformes; Clariidae
Exons: 7
Source: RefSeq, a predicted model, not a curated record
CAUACAGUAAGUUGGCUGCUUCCCCUUUAAGAUGCUUAUAUGCAAAGAAGGAACUUUAGACUUAAUGCCAACAAGAAGACCUCCAGUUCGAACUACUUUUCAAAAGGAAUUCAACCUAAAAGUAAAGUGGUGAGAGGGAGAGAGACGCACAGACAGAACAUCUAAAAGCACAAGAAGGUUUACAGGAUCACAGUGACUUCCAGUGAAAAUGACUUUAUGUUGUUUGAAAAUUGGCCCCAAAAUCUUGGGGGUUGUCCAAGCCAUCAUCGGAAUCGUGAUAUUCAUAUUUGGCUUUGCAAACAAAGAUAGUGACACUGUGUCUGAGUCCACUGGCGUCACAUACUGGGAAUCUAUCACUUUUAUCUGCUCUGGUAUCCUGUCAGCUGUUGCCGGAGGUCGUUGUCAUGCCUGUUUGAAAAAAGUCUCGAUGAUUAUGAACCUGUUCAGCACCGGGGGUGGGAUUGCAGCGACUGGUCUGUUCUCCGCUGAUCUGCACAAACUGUUGAAUGAGCUGAAACAGCUUUCAAUACAUGAUUUUAAGCCAUUUCAGACUACUAGGGGCAACUCCAGCACACUCCUGGUUUUCUCUCUGCUUGAGGUUUGCAUGGCCAUCUGGACAUUUGUAUUAUUCUGGAAAUCCUGAGUCUCCACUAUUAAGGAAUUGAAUUGUUAAGCUGGGACACAGUAAUCAUAAAUUGUAUUUUUUUUUCCACCACAAUUUUAUGAAUCGCCUCAGCAAUCCAAGUGAGGAAAUCCUUAGCUUGCCAUAUUGACAUGAACAAAAAUAAUAAAUCAUAGUUUUAACACAGUCGUUUCUUUUUUCUAGAAGUUUAUUACGAUGUACUUUUCUGAUUUGAAAAUAAACAAUAAUCUCUUACU